GACGAACGCUGGCGGCGUGCUUAACACAUGCAAGUCGAACGGUAAGGCCCUUCGGGGUACACGAGUGGCGAACGGGUGAGUAACACGUGGGUGAUCUGCCCUGCACUUCGGGAUAAGCCUGGGAAACUGGGUCUAAUACCGGAUAGGACUCCGGACUGCAUGGUCUGGGGUGGAAAGCUUUUGCGGUGUGGGAUGGGCCCGUGGCCUAUCAGCUUGUUGGUGGGGUGAUGGCCUACCAAGGCGACGACGGGUAGCCGGCCUGAGAGGGUGACCGGCCACACUGGGACUGAGAUACGGCCCAGACUCCUACGGGAGGCAGCAGUGGGGAAUAUUGCACAAUGGGCGCAAGCCUCAUGCAGCGACGCCGCGUGAGGGAUGACGGCCUUCGGGUUGUAAACCUCUUUCAGCACCGACGAAGCGCAAGUGACGGUAGGUGCAGAAGAAGGACCGGCCAACUACGUGCCAGCCGCCGCAGUAA
This 478-nucleotide ribosomal RNA is filed under the name uncultured bacterium. Its description in RNAcentral is "partial 16S ribosomal RNA". It matches the Rfam family "Bacterial small subunit ribosomal RNA", at positions 28 to 523 of the family's 1533-position model. The record is from RNAcentral.